Molossus molossus (Pallas's mastiff bat) is the source of this 104-nucleotide small nuclear RNA. NCBI's taxonomy places the organism in Eukaryota, Metazoa, Chordata, Mammalia, Chiroptera, Molossidae. The record is from RefSeq and is a predicted model, not a curated record.
CUGCUCCUUUCCAGCAGCACCGGUACUAAAAUUGGACCCAUGCAGAGAUUAGCGUGGCCCCUGCGCAAGGAUGACCCAAAUGCCAGGAGGUGUUCCAUAUUUUU